CAGCCGCCGCGGUAAUACGUAGGGUGCGAGCGUUAAUCGGAUUUACUGGGCGUAAAGCGUGCGCAGGCGGCCCGUUAAGACAGGUGUGAAAUCCCUGGGCUCAACCUAGGAAUUGCGCUUGUGACUGGCGGGCUCGAGUACGGUAGAGGGGGGUGGAAUUCCUGGUGUAGCAGUGAAAUGCGUAGAGAUCAGGAGGAACACCGAUGGCGAAGGCAGCCCCCUGGGCCUGUACUGACGCUCAUGCACGAAAGCGUGGGGAGCAAACAGGAUUAGAUACCCUGGUAGUCCACGCCCUAAACGAUGGGUACUAGCCGUUUGGUGCGCGAUAGCGCUGAGUGGCGAAGCUAACGCGUGAAGUACCCCGCCUGGGGAGUACGGCCGCAAGGUUGAAACUUGAAGGAAUUGGCGGG
This 410-nucleotide ribosomal RNA is filed under the name uncultured microorganism. RNAcentral describes it as "bacterial SSU rRNA". It matches the Rfam family "Bacterial small subunit ribosomal RNA", at positions 509 to 917 of the family's 1533-position model. The record is from RNAcentral.